AUUUCGACAUUAAGCCUCACAACAUCCUGCUAGAUCAUAAUUUCAUCCCAAAGGUCUCAGAUUUCGGCCUUGCAAAGUUUCAUCCCAAGGAAAAUGAUUUUGUGUCCAUCAGUGCCACAAGAGGAACCAUAGGAUACAUAGCACCUGAGCUGAUUUCAAGGAAUUUUGGAACUGUUUCUUGCAAGUCAGAUGUUUACGGUUUUGGGAUGGUGUUGUUGGAAAUGGCUGGAGGAAGAAGGAAUUCUAAUAUGAAUGCAACUCGUUCAAGCAAAGCAUAUUUCCCAUCUUGGGUAUAUGACCAAUUAAAUAAGGGAGGUGAUUUAGAGCUUCAGAAUAUUACUGAAAUUGAAUCCAUGAUAGCAAGGAAACUGUGUAUGAUUGGUUUGUGGUGUAUUCAGGUGAAGGCAGCAGAUCGCCCCUCUAUGACAAAAGUUUUAGAGAUGUUAGAAGGGAGUAUUGACGAUUUGCAAAUGCCUCCUAGACCUUUCUUCUCUUCUUCUCGACAUAUCUCCGGAACUGGAAGAGAGAUUGAAUCAGAUUCUUCAGCAGAGUUGUUAGUGUCUGAAUCAAUAGAGGAAUGUUCUUUCAAUGAUAGUUUUGUUUAAUUUUUGCCAAGGAUGAAUGUAAAAUAAAUAAAUAAUUAAUAGAUUGCAAUGACAAAGGUUCUCUAUCUUCUUGUUGCUUUAUCUCGCAUUGAAACUUAAUGCAUAUAUUUGUGAGUGCAAGCUAGUUUAGUAGUUGAAAUCUCCUACUCAUAUAGGUGGCAAUAUGAUUUAAUUAGACGUGCGCUAUGCUUUAAAAAGAAAAUAAAAGUCUCUCGCAUUGAUUACAAACACUGGAUAGGAGUUGGAAAUUUUAUUCUGUAUUUUUAUCACACAUUGAAAAUUGAUCACAAAAAAACCAAGUAUACACCUUCGUUCAGCCUAUUCUUAUAAUUGUUGUCCACAAAUGUCAUGGAGGACUAGUCUCUUGUGGGCUGCCAUUGACUUAAAUAAAAUGCAUUUUAUCCAUUCAAAUUCCAAAAAUGAGUGUCAUUUGCUCUUUCACAUUAAGAAAUAUAUCCUCAACCAAGAAGGAAGAGUGAUUAAUAUUAGACGAAAAAGCAUCCCUAUUUCUCAUUUUCUCCAUGUCACCUGUGCUUAGUUUAAUUCUCUUCCUUCUCUUUCCUUACACAGAAGCCAAAACUUCAGAAGGAAACAAUGAUACAAAUAUUUAUAAAUUUUGUCAGCCAACAACAUGCAGCACGAAGGGACCAAAUAUCAGAUUUCCCUUUAGACUCAAAACUCAACCUAUCUCUUGCGGUCUUGAAGGGUUUGAAUUAUCAUGCUUAAACACCAAGACAGUGUUGCACCUUCCUUCCUCUGGCGAUUAUUAUGUGCAGGACAUUUCUUAUCUUCACAGCAGAAUUACCAUUAUGGAUGUACAUGAGUCCACAUGCCCUUUAAAAACCAGCCGAGCGGCUUUGUCAAAUUAUAGAUUGACGUAAAAGGGGAGAACUUAAAUUAAAUAUUUGAAUCUUAUUCUGAUUUUUUAAAAAUAAUUUAUAAGAGUUCAUAAAAAAAAGUUGUAAAUGUGUAAUUUAGAUAAAUAUGAAUACCCAAAUAAAAUUGGGCAAACUUUUAUUUUUCAUGAUGCUUUUUUUUUCCUUUAAAACCAAAAUAAAUUUAGGAUUCAUUUAUGUUUUAAUCACAUGCUUGUUUCAAAAUUUUACUUUCUUACAACGUUUUAUGAUUUUUUAAAAAAAAUGUGCUCGCAUAUUUGUUAAAUUUAAGAAUUAAAGUCCAUGAUAUUAUAUUCAUCUUUAAGUUUCUCGAACAGCUACUUCGGAAGUGAAUCAGACUAGAAGGAAAAAAAAUGAACCAAAAAACGGAACAGUUCAUGGCUUUAUGCUUUUUUAUGGACUGUGGUUGCCUCAAUGAAUAGCCCAAGUGAUUAUUGGGCUUUUAAUUCGGCUCCUAUGAAAGGCCCAAAGCGUCCACGAUGAAGCAGGUCACAGGAGCAGUCUUAAAUCUCAAUUAUGAAUCUCUCUCAACUCCUCAAGCGGGGUUUCAUUUUGAAUGCCGCCAUUGGCCUCAUUUCACAAUAUAGAUAUGCAUGCAUGGAGGAUAUAUAUACACUGGGUGUAGUUGUGUAUAUAUAACUUAUAAAGUUAUAAUUAUAUUAUGAGUAUAUCUUUCAAUGUAUGUAUGUAUGUAUAUAUGAACAAAUAAAAUAAUAACUAUACGAAAAUUUACAAGUAGCACCUGAAAAAAUAUCAGAUCACUUCAGUUUUGAGGUCCAAAUAAUGCUGCACGUUGAUGACGGAAUACAAAGAACUCAAAGAUUUAAAAUGCAUUUGAUUAAUGGCAUUUUAAUUUAUGUGCUCUCUAUUUUCUAUCAACAAAAUUUCAAAAAAUUAGCGCCAUCUACUUCAAUCAGACCAAACACAUGGACCAAAUAUUAAUGAGGAAAAAAAAACCAAUCGAUACGCUUUUGUCUCCACAAUAAUAAAUAGCUGCUGAAUGGCCAUGGAAGCGUGCAUAUCCACAGCAGCAUGGAAUUAAAGUAGUUGAUAAACUGUUUACAGUAGCAAGGACUUUGUAUGCAUGAUGCCAAUUAAAUGGUUGCGGGCUUAAAAGCAUUAAUUUAUGAAGUGCUUGUCCCUUUUAGGCUGGAGAUAAGUCAAGACUACAUUGCUUUCCCUCCUUUUCUUGUUCGCCUUUUGCAAUAGAUACUUUUUUUUUAACUGAUUAAGCAUUAGGUUAUUAUAUUACACAGAGAUAUUUACAACUCUAUUAUGACAGCAGAUCAUUGCACUGAUAUUUACAAUCAUAUAUAUACCUAAAACUUAGAUUAUUACAUUUUUAUUUUAUAAAGUACAAGCCCAGCCAAAUACCCCUCACAGAGGAGGGAUGUCUUUACUCCACUCGCAUUUCGCAAGGGAGAAGGAUGUUACAAGCAAUAGAUACGUUAUUAUAUUGUUUUUUUAGCACAUUUUCAAUGAGACUACUAUUCCCAUAUCGGCUGCCAAGUUAACCAUUUGAUCAAUAUUUUAUUUUAUGGAUUUGAAUUCGACAUGACAGAUAUUAGAAACCAAUGGCAUACAACAUGACCAAAUUUUACAUCAAUACAUACAUUAUACUAAUGCAGCUGCGACAUUUGAAAUAAGCGAUUAUUCCAUUAAAUCCAUUUACGGCAGAACUACAUACCACAUGAAACGCAAUAGGACUCGUUCCAAUGUCACAAAAUUAAUAAGAAAACAUUUCAUAGAGAGGAAAUCUCUGCGGAAGUGAAUUGCCUUCAUAAAAUAUCAUAGUGACACUUGACUCUUGACAGCAAAUAGGGCUACUCAUAGAACCAAUCUUGAAUCGGAAAUGGAGAGUUCUAAAAACCACAUGAAAAAUUAACUUUCGAAGACACAUCAAAAUGUUGCACCAAGCAUAAGAUUCAAGAUAUCCUUAGCUCGAAUCUGUUGUAUGUAAGUUAAGUGGAAAUAUCAGGACACAUUGAUUUUCUUCCCCUCUGCGCCUAACUAGUAUUAUAUCGUUGUGAUGAAUAACAUAUAAAUUGAUCUAAAUUUUUGUCAUAAACUAUAACAUUUGUACUCUAAUCUACUUGAGAUUAAUGAACGUCAUAUAUGAUUAAAAAAAUUAUUAAUUUCAUCUCUUUUGUUAUUCUAAUAAUCUAUUAUAUGCUGUUAUAUCCCAUGAUCAAACUAUGUAUUCGACUGUUAAUUUUUCAAUAUUAUUUUAUUAUAUAUUUACUUGUUUCCAUAAUCACAGUCUAAUUAAGAAUUUAUAUAUAUAUAUAUUUGGACUUUGGUGGUCUCCAUACGAAGCCCAACUCAUAUUGGGCAUUUGAAGUUUAAAUCAUUAAAAAGUUCAAUUAGUCCCCAAUGCGCAAGGAUAGACUAAUAUCCGCAUGGCAUUUUUUGACAUAAUUGAUUUGUCAAAAGUGUGUGUGUGUAUAUAUUGACACACGCGCACGCACGCAUAUAUAUAUAUAUAUAUAUAUAUAUAUAUAUAUAUAUUGUUAUGCGUGGAAUUCUGCAUAUUUUAACACGUGAAUUUACUAAUAUACUGUAUAUUAAUUAAUUGAAAAAAAUUAAUAAAAACACUAAUGGCAUAUUAGUGCCGUCACACACGCCUACAACAUAAAAACUUAUCAUGCAUUAAAUAGAACGCAAUCGUGCACACCGGAUCAUAAUUUUAAUUAUAUAUAUCUUUCUUUAUUCAUAAAAAUAAUAAUAAUAAUAAUAAUAGUAACAAUAAUAAUUACAACAGCAACCACAAUUUUUAGAAACGCGUGAACUUGACAUGAGAAGUCCUCGUUCUUCUGCGUGUCGGUCGCUUUAAAAGUGUUGGUCGUCGGGGGCCGUUCCAAAUUUCCAAUGCCGCGUUUCUCCAAUCCUGUUAAAAUAAACAAAUAAAUAAAGUAAGCCAUUGCGUUUGGUGGUGAGAAAAAUUAAGAAAGCGAAAGAUAUUGACUGGAAUUGGACUGCAUGCAUGGAAACUGUUUCCAAUAAGUUCUGUCGCUAUUAAUAUUGAAGAACGUUUACUAAGAAAUUUGAGGUCAAGCUAGGAUGGGGAUGGAUGGAUCAUCCCAACGUUUACUAAGAAAUUUGAGGUCAAGCUAGGAUGGGGAUGGAUGGAUCAUCCCAUUCCCACCGAUGCUAACUCAUUUACAAUUACCAGGAAAUUAAGCGACUUCACUUUGCCGUAUUGACUUCCCCAUUGAAAUCUGAAAGCUUCCACCUAAACAAAUCGUGGAAAGAGACUUCAGAAGCUGCGUGGCAUCCGCAUACAAAAUUUGCAGUAAGAAACGAAAUUGAACCUGUUUAUCUAGAUUUGUCCCUUUAUCUUCCAUUGCAUUAAUGCUUGAAGCCUAGCACUCAGUAAUUAAAAAUUUUCUUCCAUCGUGUCGAUUUCAUUUUAUGAAUAAUUAAUAUUAUUUUUAAACAAAUUAUUUAGCGCUAAUUAAUUCAAUCACAUAGUUGUAUACUAAACUAUGAUAAGUUUAAAGCCCGCCUCUCACCGUGCAAGUGAAACCGUAGAAAACAUAGCGCAUUAACACUUUUAUACCGUUCUGCUUAGUUUAUUCAAAUUCGUUAAUUGUAUCCUGGAAUUGGAGGAGCAAUGAGUAGUGACGAAGCUUCAAUUUUCUCAACUUUUCUGUUUUGUCUGUUGAUGUUUGUAUUCAUCACCAGUGAAAUUGAAGCAAGAAAACUUGAAGUACAAAUGUGUUCUUCCUCUUGUGGAGAUGUCAAAAACAUAAGCUACCCUUUUCGCCUCAAGGGCGAUCCAGCUGGAUGCGGCCAUCCGGAGUUAGAACUUUCUUGCGAGAGCAACAAAACCAUCUUAGAAUUCAAUUCUAGAAAGUACUAUGUGAAGAGAAUUUCCUAUGAUAAAUGUACAAUCAGUGUUGUCGAUGUUAACUUAGCCUAUGGAAGCUGCAGCUUCCCAUCCACUUCUUUUUCCCGACAUUGUUUCUGUUUCAGAUAUUGUUUUGAUUACAAUCUUGAUUCAUACGCCAAUUACGUGAAUUGCUCGAGUAAUAUUGUUGAUCAGGCGUCUGCGAAAGUUCCAUGUUUGAGUAACAAUCAGUCGAAUGUCUAUGUUUAUUUUGGAUAUGAUUUAAUGGCCAACAGUAUAUCACAUCUUCCAGACUCAUGCGCCUUCAUUUCAAAGGUUCCUGUAGUACUUAAUAGGAGCGUGGACAAACUUUCUUAUGAAGACCUCCGAAAAUCUCUGGAGUCAGGGUUCGAUCUUACAUGGAUUGAUUGGAGCUGGAGCCUCUCAAUGCCUCUCUGUAAGCUUAUGCUUAUAUUUAUUUAUGCAUUCAAAUGCAAGGGCUUUGUUUUUGCUUUUCAAUAUUGUACGUAAUAAAGAAUUUGUGAACUAUCUCUAUGAGCAUACCGAUAUGACCUUUAAUUUCUGUUUCUUUCCACUUUUGUAACAGAUUGCAUCUGCAAUGUAGGUGUAGUGGCAAAGAUAAAUUGCCUCUUAUAUUAUAUACGUAAGCAUAUCCUUAUAUAUCUUUUUGAUCAUGUGUUUUCGACGUUAAUAAAUGCGAUGGCUUCAUAUAUUCUCUAAUCUUUACUCUAUAAUUUUUUCUGAAUCAUCUCUCUGAUUAGGAUAAAGCUUUUAUUUUUUUCCCCCCUCUCUCCAAUUACAGUUUACCGAGUAAUUUACCCAGCAAUCCUUUGGCCUUACAUAACGUACGCAUCAGGAAUGCGGAAUUGGAUAGCUUUUCUGUUAGGUAAAAUCUCCUCUCCAGGAUCCUCUUUUUAUUGCUUUGUUUACUACUAUUUACUUUCAAAUAACGUUCUCCUUACCAGGGUUUCCAUUCGAUGUUCUGAAUGUUCUGAUAAUUGGUAGAUUUAUUCUUGCUCCAAUAGUCUUUGUCGUGUUCCUUAUCCAAAAGUACAGAAAAUCAUUGAAGAGAAUUGAUAAUGUGGAGAAAUUUCUGCACAAUCAGCAAUCGUGGAUGCCUAAAAGGUACUCUUACCCGGAGAUAAUUGCCGUGACAAACCACUUCACUCAUAAAUUAGGCCAAGGUGGCUUUGGUUCGGUUUAUAAAGGACAACUUCAUACGGGUUGCUUGAUUGCUGUUAAGAUGCUGGAGAACUCCAAGUUCAGUGCGGAGGAAUUCAUCAAUGAAGUUUCAACAAUUGGUAGAAUUCACCACGUUAAUGUAGUCCAGCUAUUGGGGUUCUGUUCCGAGGGAUUCAAACGGGCACUUGUGUACGAGUAUAUGCCCAAUGGAUCACUCGAUAGGCAUAUCUUUCCCAAGGAGAGUAGAGGCCAAUCUUUUAGUUGGGAGAGACUCCAGGAAGUUGCUUUAGGAACUGCCCGUGGGAUCGAGUAUUUACACAACGGAUGUGAUGUCUGCAUUCUUCAUUUCGACAUUAAGCCUCACAACAUCCUGCUAGAUCAUAAUUUCAUCCCAAAGGUCUCAGACUUCGGCCUUGCAAAGUUUCAUCCCAAGGAAAAUGAUUUUGUGUCCAUCAGUGCCACAAGAGGAACCAUAGGAUACAUAGCACCUGAGCUGAUUUCAAGGAAUUUUGGAACUGUUUCUUGCAAGUCAGAUGUUUACGGUUUUGGGAUGGUGUUGUUGGAAAUGGCUGGAGGAAGAAGGAAUUCUAAUAUGAAUGCAACUCGUUCAAGCAAAGCAUAUUUCC
This 7159-nucleotide long non-coding RNA is filed under the name Citrus maxima (pomelo). Its description in RNAcentral is "long non-coding RNA (CMAX_LNC001023)". The record is from RNAcentral. Lineage: Eukaryota; Viridiplantae; Streptophyta; Magnoliopsida; Sapindales; Rutaceae.